RNAcentral lists this non-coding RNA (80 nucleotides) under Methylophaga sulfidovorans. RNAcentral's name for it is "GEMM cis-regulatory element". It matches the Rfam family "c-di-GMP-I riboswitch aptamer". From Rfam's summary of the family: GEMM was predicted in a large-scale screen for bacterial structured RNA regulatory elements. Genes associated with GEMM are involved in a diverse array of functions, including chemotaxis regulation, signal transduction, secretion and chitin. Lineage: Bacteria; Pseudomonadati; Pseudomonadota; Gammaproteobacteria; Thiotrichales; Piscirickettsiaceae. The record is from RNAcentral.
AUUGAUUAAAGCCAAACUCGUCGUGAGGCGGGGUCGGAAAGCCACAGAUCUUCAAUGAAGAAGAUGGCUGGGCUGCAUUG